Molecule: long non-coding RNA, 218 nt
Filed under: Elaeis guineensis (African oil palm)
Lineage: Eukaryota; Viridiplantae; Streptophyta; Magnoliopsida; Arecales; Arecaceae
Description: long non-coding RNA (EGUI_LNC011389)
Source: RNAcentral
CCAGGUAACGAGGCAGACCAUGCCAAGAACAAACGUGAACCAACUGUCCCUUUUCCUUUUGGUUGUAUUGCAAGAGGUGCGGAUUUUAGUUCCACAUCGGUUGUUCAGUCAAACAAUCUUGUCUUAUAAAGCUUGGAGCUCCCUUUCUCACGUGAGGCAUCUUUUCCAAAGGCAAAGCGGUGCGGUCGCAGGCCACAGGCCUACCUCAUGCGUGAUGC